GGGUGAGUAACGUGUGGGUAACCUGCCCUGUACACACGGAUAACAUACCGAAAGGUAUGCUAAUACGAGAUAAAGUACUUUUAUCGCAUGGUAGAAGUAUCAAAGCUUUUGCGGUACAGGAUGGACCCGCGUCUGAUUAGCUAGUUGGUAAGGUAACGGCUUACCAAGGCGACGAUCAGUAGCCGACCUGAGAGGGUGAUCGGCCACAUUGGAACUGAGACACGGUCCAAACUCCUACGGGAGGCAGCAGUGGGGAAUAUUGCACAAUGGGCGAAAGCCUGGUGCAGCAACGCCGCGUGAGCGAUGAAGGCCUUCGGGUCGUAAAGCUCUGUCCUCAAGGAAGAUAAUGACGGUACUUGAGGAGGAAGCCCCGGCUAACUACGUGCCAGCAGCCGCGGUAAUACGUAGGGGGCUAGCGUUAUCCGGAAUUACUGGGCGUAAAGGGUGCGUAGGUGGUUUCUUAAGUCAGAGGUGAAAGGCUACGGCUCAACCGUAGUAAGCCUUUGAAACUGGGAAACUUGAGUGCAGGAGAGGAGAGUGGAAUUCCUAGUGUAGCGGUGAAAUGCGUAGAUAUUAGGAGGAACACCAGUUGCGAAGGCGGCUCUCUGGACUGUAACUGACACUGAGGCACGAAAGCGUGGGGAGCAAACAGGAUUAGAUACCCUGGUAGUCCACGCCGUAAACGAU
This 687-nucleotide ribosomal RNA is filed under the name uncultured bacterium. RNAcentral's name for it is "bacterial SSU rRNA". It matches the Rfam family "Bacterial small subunit ribosomal RNA", at positions 104 to 810 of the family's 1533-position model. The record is from RNAcentral.